This 24765-nucleotide long non-coding RNA is filed under the name Nicotiana tabacum (common tobacco). RNAcentral describes it as "long non-coding RNA (NTAB_LNC008231)". Lineage: Eukaryota; Viridiplantae; Streptophyta; Magnoliopsida; Solanales; Solanaceae. The record is from RNAcentral.
UUUUUUUUUUAGUUUUGGCGAAUAAAUGUUGGGCUUGUCAUCUGGGAAAACAGCAAUAGCUAUAAACUAGUUCGGAGGCUUUCAUAACUGACUAAUGCUAUUUUAUGCAGAAAAUAUUUGUUUUCUGCUUUGGCUUUGGAGACCAAAGUGCAGAAUUGCAACAAACAUUUGCUCCUAAAAUAUUUCGGUCAGUGGAAAACCUUGAAGUCAUUAAUGGUUUCUGGACCAGCAAUUAAUUAAUCAACAAUGCCUCAAUUCUGAACUAGCUGGGUCAACUAUAUAAAUUUUCUACAUCCAUCAAUCUGAUCAUAGGCGGAAUCUUCAAAGCGUAAAGCCGUGAACUUUAUACUACGAAGUCCAGGAGUAGAAUUGAGUCCUUUUUUUUUUGAUGAGAUAAGUUGCUUCAUUGCAAGCAUCAAGAAGGUAGAAUUGAGUCCUAGAAUUCUUUAAUCGCUUAAAAGUAAUUAUUCAUAUUAUCAUUUAAAGGAUAAACUUUAUGCACAACCUAUCUUACUCAGCUAGAUGAAUAAUGCAAGUUAGUUUGCAAUGGCUUGGUGGGUUGCCACCUCUGAGUCAUUUGUAACUGCCAAAUUGAUUUCCACAAGUAAAGGCUACCAAGGUUGGGCAAGAGGAUAGAUGGAGAGAAUAAAUAAGGUGACAGCAAUAUGAUCAUGACAAGAACAGAAGGCUGGUUACUCCUUUUCAAUUUUUCAAGUAAAAGUAACAGCCCAUUGCCUGUUAAGUGCCUUUCAUAGUACAUUGUACAGUUGAGACUUGACUGCUGGCUCUUCUACUAUAAUUUUGGUUGAAUCCGUCCUUGAUUCAAGCUUCUUGAAAUUUGUUAAGAAAAAACUUUUAGUUACUAAGACAACAUCAAUGCAUACUAAACAGUACUCUCUAAUGUGCAUAAGGACAAUGACAGAAAAGCUUGAAACAUAUCAUGCACCGGCCCUGUUUAUUUAGAUUAUAGUAAGGAGGAUUUUUCUGGAUAAAGAAAAUCAUUAGUAAAAAGGUAUAGAGAAUUAAAGGAAAUUACUUAUCAACAGAAGAAAAAGCAAAAUUAUAAUACUCCAUUAUUUAUUAGUAUUGUUUAUAUUAUUGUCAUUGUUUUUUGUGGUGAGAAGAAUAUAGCAACCGAUAAUAUAUCAUAUAUUAAAUUCUUUCCCUAAAGAUGACUAACCUUUGCGGCAAUGCAUGUUCCAUCAAAAGCUAACUUGGCCAAAGAAAGCACCCGAUCUGCAUGGUCAACCAGAACUUGAGAGUACCAGUUGAGGAAAAACCGACCAUAAUAUCCAUCAUAAUCACCCCCGUCACAAAAGAAUCCAGUCUCUUGUGGCUGUGAAUUGUAGGAACCAGCAUUAUCGGGUCCUCGUGCCCAGAAUGAGUGUCCUCUUGCUUCAGCCGCCUUGCGCAGGCUUUUCAGCAAAUACUGGUCGUAACACUAUGGGAGACAAGAAAGUCAUAUUGAUGCAAUAAAUGGUCACAAGGAUGUGAUUGAAAUACACAUUUUGGCUAUAAUUUUUGACAGAGAUCCUAACAACUAGUGCAAUCACUUAAGAGGAGAAUAAGUGCUACAACAACAUCUAAGCAAAGAGAGGUAGACAAAGCUUUUCCUUUGAGAAAUGCAUAUUUUUAGUCACUCCAAAACAUAAUAGCCGACAAAAUGUCUAUUUUUUGUAUGUUAGCGAAUGCAAUUAGUUCCGGCCGACCUACCAAUUUUGUAUUUUGCCCUUUCUUUUUCAAGUCUGACUUCAUGCAGGAAUAUGGUGAUGCAUAAACAGAUNNNNNNNNNNNNNNNNNNNNNNNNNAAAGAUUUGACAAUCAAAUCCUUUUGCAUGGCAUUCAUACAAAUCUAAGCUACUGCCCUCAACUUAAAAGAGAAUAAGGAAAAAAAUUACCUGGAAUUCACCAACUCCAGGAUACCUCCAGCCAUGCUUUACAGGAUUAGAGGGAUAUCUUAGUUCCCCACAUGGGCCUAGUCCUACUUCAACCAUGGAAAUAAUACCAUCCUCAAAGAACUCAUCAAAUUCAACUCGAAAGCUUCUCAUAUAAUCAAAGUAGACCUACAUUGGUCAAAAAGACAAACAUCUGGGUAAGAUAUACAAAGGUAGUCACACAAAGAAGAAAACUGGAGUUCUAUGAAUUUUAAAACCUCUUGAAAGAAAUCUAAUAUGCAAGUAUAGCAUGGCACAAAUCUUCUCAAAAGAGAAUAUCCACAUCUCAAUUGCUGUGUUUUUCAUUUUUCUGCAGUAAUCCAUUGACAAUUCAGCAACAGUAACUCCUAAUCAAUUAUUGUCGUUAAGCAUAAAAUAUACUGAGAACAAUAAAGAAUCUCCAGAACUGACGAGUUAAAAUGGCAAAAACACCUUGUGCCAGCACUGAACCCAUGUUAGAUUUCCUGUUCAUUACAAUCACUAAUUUUUUUUUGCUAAUGAUAAAAGAAUUAUUACAAUCUAAUUAUACACUCUACAUCUUCUUUUUGCUAGAUAGAUAAAAUUGCCAUUACUUAUCACAAAAAAUAAAAAUAAAAAAAAUACAUAUUGCGCGAGCAUUAGUGGUCAGUAAAGCUUUCAACAUGAAAAAGAUUUCCAACUCGGAUUUCUGGCAAAUUUGACCGGGAGCAAAAUUGGAGGUUUUUGUGGUCAGUAGAGGCUGUUCGUCGGCCCCAUCCUCAAUCCAAAAAGAAUAAAGAAAGAGAAAUGUUCUCUUAACCUCAAAAUAACUAGAAGACAUUCAUUUACUACACAAAUAUUCUUCUCAUUAUCCUAAACAACUAGGGCAUAAUCAUAAGAGUGCAUUCUGACCGAGGUCGCAUAACAUACCUCUACAGCAGUGCGCCCUUUCAAAACCCGCUCUUUAUCAAUUCCCACGAGAGACAUUCAGGGUUUCGCCGUCCUGCUCUGUCUGUAAAAUAUAUAUCAGGAUUGCUUCCGACCCGAUUUCAGGAUACCCAGUGAGGCAGUGNNNNNNNNNNNNNNNNNNNNNNNNNGGCAGUCUCAGUGAUAAAAGAAUUAUUACAAUCUAAUUAUACACUCUACAUCUUCUUUUUGCUAGAUAGAUAAAAUUGCCAUUACUUAUCACAAAAAAUAAAAAUAAAAAAAAUACAUAUUGCGCGAGCAUUAGUGGUCAGUAAAGCUUUCAACAUGAAAAAGAUUUCCAACUCGGAUUUCUGGCAAAUUUGACCGGGAGCAAAAUUGGAGGUUUUUGUGGUCAGUAGAGGCUGUUCGUCGGCCCCAUCCUCAAUCCAAAAAGAAUAAAGAAAGAGAAAUGUUCUCUUAACCUCAAAAUAACUAGAAGACAUUCAUUUACUACACAAAUAUUCUUCUCAUUAUCCUAAACAACUAGGGCAUAAUCAUAAGAGUGCAUUCUGACCGAGGUCGCAUAACAUACCUCUACAGCAGUGCGCCCUUUCAAAACCCGCUCUUUAUCAAUUCCCCACGAGAGACAUUCAGGGUUUCGCCGUCCUGCUCUGUCUGUAAAAUAUAUAUCAGGAUUGCUUCGACCGAUUUCAGAUACCCAGUGAGGCAGUGGAAUACAAACAUCAUCACCAAUGUUACCUCCACAUUCAUGGAAGGACAUCACAACCUGUUUUCAGAUAAAACCUCAAUAAUUUGCAGUCCAAAUGAUGCAAUAACUAUGGUGACAAUCACAAGCCCCGAAAGAUCACUUCCUUUAAAAAUUGUAAUAUUCAGAUAGAAAUUAAUUGAAGUCCUUAUCUUAAAUAUUUGAUGGUAAAAGGAUCAUCUUUUCCCCAUUAUUACACUCAUUCACAAUUUCACAUAAACCAAUAAUGGGAUAAAGUGGAAGAACAAGGGAGUCACAACAAAGCGCGUGUGAAUCUCACCUUUAUUUUGAGUUUAUGCUCCCUCACAACUUGAAACAGCCUUUUAUAUCCAUUCCAGUUAUAAUCCUGUGGAGCAUUUGCCUCUACUAUGCCCCACCAGCAGUCCACCAUCACACCAUCAACAUUUAUUGACUUUAACACUCUCAGUUGCUUCACUAGACCAUCCGCAUCAACAAGCUCAGACUUCAUAUUAAUCACUCCUAACUGCCAAUAUAACAUGGAAAAAAGCAUCAGGUUAACCACAUAUGACUUGAGGAAAGCUGUACAACAAUAAAUUCUCCUCUUCUAAAGGUUUAAUAACAAUGCAAGUGGAAUGAAGACACAAGUUACACAUGUCAAAGGAUCAAGUUGCUAGAGAAACAGAGAUGAGAUACAAGAGGCCCCUGAACAGUAAUUGACAAAAGGGAAGAAUAAGGAAGAAUUAACAAGGUUCAAGUUCAGAAACCUCACAGGUAGCAUAACAUAAACAGGAAUGUAGGGUGUCCCAGCAAAAUCACGCUUCUGUAACUUUGUGUGUAUGUCAAUAACCUAACAAAAUAUUUCAGAAACAUCAACAAUAGCAGAAUGCUCUUAUAGGCCUGUUGAAACAGCAAAACUAAAGUUCCAAAAGUAUUCAAACAAAAAUGUCAAUUUCACACAUAUGAUACUAUCCACCACCCAUACGGGAUUGCCAUGGUAAUUUUUUAUUGUUUUGGUACUUCAAGAUAUUUCACGCAAAUGUAUUGGCAAAGUGAAAAUGUAUUCCUAAAUAAUUUACAAGUUUUACAAUACGUUAAGCCACCCAUUUCACCUGCUUGUCAAGUGAAUCCCCAGACCCUACAAGAAAUGGGUCAUUUUGUGUGUCUUGUCCAUCUGCAACCAUGGCUGAAGUUUGCGAUCGGGCAGUGGAGGAUGAAUCAUAAGGGGAUGAAGUAGGUAUAAACACACUUUUCACUUGACAGGCACUGUGAUCGGCUGUGUUCUGAAACCCAGAAGGCGUGCCUUUCAACGAAGCAGGUGGAGUAUGUUGUGUUGGUAUAUGUGAAGAUGAUGAAGUCACCAUUGUGGUGGGUGUCCCACCAGUAGCUCCAGUGACCUGUAGAUGUUGAAAAAACAACACCAUAUUGAGUUUUCUUGGGAUCUACUAGAAACAAAAUAAUAUUGAUGCAUAUGCCCCGUUGACAAAUUUCCUCCGUAACGCUAAAUUUUUCAUCUUGCCUAACUUAAACUCCAUGAGACUAUCUGUGAACUUUGUUAUAUUGGAAAAAGAUAAGAAAUACUUUGCUUAGAAUGGAGGAGGAGAGUUACCUGUGAAUGUGAUUUUGAGGGAAAGGUGGUUCCAUCUGGAAGGACAACCCAGCCUGCUUCCCUUGCCAAAGCAGCAAUAACAUCAUUGAUAUCAGCCCUAACUCUAAGGUUAUAGUUCCCGUGCCUUCGGAGACCAGCCAAGAUCUUAGCAGUAAUAGCUCUACGUUGUCGCUCCCUAAGCUUUGUUCGUUCCUUCUCUUCUAAUGGCCUACAUCUACGAGAUCCCCCUUGUGGGGUUGGCGGCUCUUGAUAUUGCUGAUGGUGUUGAAACCUAUUACUGCUGCUAGAUCCAUGUGCCCCAUCGAAACCUGCCAUUGCAUUAAAGGUGCCAUUCUUAUCUUCAUCAUCAUCAUCCUCAUCAUCUUCUUCUUUCACAUCCAUCUCUUCGUCAUCUUCAUUUGUAUCAUAUCUCUGCAUCUCUGAUGCCAUUUUCAAGCUUUUCUUUUUCCACUUCGUUUGCUUGAGCUUUAUUACAUUUCAAACUUCACAUGCAGAUGACAUUCUACUAGCCCAGCGUCAUGCUUCAGCAUAAUAAUUUGACUAAAGUAUUUCAGAAGACAUUUUUUAGAGGCUUGGCUCUUUAGCUCCCUGGUUUAGCAAAAAAUUUCAAAGUCAAAAUAUCAAUAUGAUUAGACCACAAAAAGCAUUUCAAAGGAAAGACAUGCAGAACGGAGCCACUACUUCAGGUAUUCCAUUAGGACAAAUGACUACAGAAAUUCUGAACACCUAAAUCCAACUUACAACAAAUAGGAAUCUCAUGCUUCCAAAAUGCAAGUCAAUAUUCAUGCAGGUUUAAAUUUUAUAAACUACUGCUAACAAAUAAUAAGAAAUUCUACACUAUUAGAUUACUUAAAAACAAUUAAGAUAGUCUACAAUAUGCAUGUUUGAUAACAGUAAGUAACCUGCUACAACUCGUUAAAAUUAUGGAUCAUGUAAGAACACACUAUUGGGUGCGUAUAACUUAAAUCCCAUGCAGAGAAUGAAAGAACAUCCCACGCUAUUGCUAUCUUCCCAAAACCAUACCAACUAUCCAUCUACUUCAACUAUCUGAGCUAACAAAUAAGCAUGAUCUUUGGCACCAUCCAAUGAAAGCUCAAUUUUUGCUUAUACUACCACCUUUUUAGUUUUUAUAAUCAGCUACACCUCAAUCCCAAAUAACUUGAUCUCGGCUACAAGACUCCCUUUUCCAUUCAGCUCUAUUCAGGCCCAUUAAUAUGACCACUCUUAAGUUUGUUUACUUUUCUUUUCUUUUUUUUCUUUUCCUUUUUGCAAUGGCGUUCUAAAAAGAUGAUAAAUUUAUCCAAAAAUUCAUCCUUUAGAUCGUUUUCAGCAAUUUUUCUCAUAAGAAAAAAGAGAGAGAUGACUUACAAUGUGUCAUUUCACAUCUAAUUGCUCUGGAACAUGAACAGAAGCCGACGAGCAUCACUUGUAGAAAUCAGAUCCAUAUAAAUACAAUAAUAAAUAUUCCGGCGAAUUGGCCGGAGCAGAGUGACGGAAGGAAAAUUGAUAUUCUCUACAGAAAGAACCUGAAGGAUAGGAGAGGAAUUCGCGGGAAGUUUUUCCGGCGAAGAUCCGGCGGAACACGGCGAGCAUGCGAAGGCUAGGGUUUCUCACGCGUGUGAAGGAAGCCAAGCGUGUCUAAGCAUAUGCGUGACACGGAUGAAGUGCUUUGUGUGACCUUAUCUUCGGAGCGUGCGAUUCACACGUGGUACACGUGCCAAGCAAAAAGAGCAAGUAUUGAAGUUAUGGCUAUGGAAUGAAUGGGCAGCAAGAACAAGUCGCAGGUGUUUAUCGGGCGGGCUGGGACGGGUUGGACACAAAAAUGGUCUGUCCGUUAGAGUUACGGGCGGGUUGUUAGCAUGCUGAAGUUAACGGGCUAGUGGCGGGCUGGGAUUUUUCGGGUUCUAUAGGGCCCGUAUGGGUUCGGGCCUAGCGGGUUCGGGCGGGUCGGGCUUUCGUUUUUUUAAUAUAUUAUUUUUAACUAUCUUAUAUUUUUCUUUUAACGGUCAGAUUUAAUUUAAAAAUAAAUAAAUAAAAAUUAGGCGGUUUUGCGGGCUGCACCGUUAAGAACCCGUUAAGGGCUUAACGGGUUGUGGCUGGUUCGCGUACCCGUUUGGCGAAAACUUAACGUUACUAGCCCGCCCCCCGUCCAACCCGUCCCAACCCGCACACAUAUGCAUAGUAACGAGCUGGACCGAGCUGAACCCGGGUUGAACCGGGUUGUUAGCGGGUCAGUCCGCCCGAUUAACACCUCUUAUCAAGAAUGGGUGGAAUUAGGAAAAAAGAACAAACCUUUUGUGAUCCCAACUUUUAGGAUGCACAAGAAAUGUGAUCCUCCUUCUUAACAUAUUUAUUUAUAAGUUUAAGAUGUAAAAAUAAUUAUACUAUCAAAUCACUUAUAUAAGAUAAUUAUAAACAAAUUUUUGUAAUAAACAUUAGUUGGUAUCCUAGUAAAAUAAACUAGGUUGCUAUCAGACGAUAAAUUGUACCAUAAUAUAAAAAAUUAUAAUAUCAAUGUCUAUAAUUAAAUUCUUUAUUUUAAUACAAUUUAAGAUUGUUUGCAUUGUUUGUUAAAAGAAUUUGCCUAGUUGUAAAAUCUGAGUACUCCAUUGAAAACAACCAACUUCCAUAUUUUCAUCACCCACUAACUUCCAUGUUUUCAGCUUAGCAUCCCAUUGCAUUUCAGGAGGGCUAAGGACCAACUGUUCAACAAGAUUAACCUGUUCUUUCUGUUCAUCAAGAAUAUACAAGCCAUUUUCAUUAGAUAUAUUUGUCCAAGUUCAAAAGAUUAUAGUACAAACAAGGGAGGGGUUCCAAAAUACAUGAUAUCCGAAAAUUAGGCUACUGUUUUAACCAUCACCUAUUCAUUGCAAUAGAUUAUGGUUUCCUAGCAAUCAAUUUUCCCCAUAAUUCUUUUUCCUCGCAUCUUCUUCUAUCCAGAUAGUUGUACACCUCUAAAGAAGAAUGCGUUCAUUCUCAAUUAGAUGUGGCAAAAUGAUUAAAAGAAAACAGUUAUUCACCCAUAUUAUCCGUUAAAAAUGGGUUGGAUAAUGAAUUUUUUUAAAAACGAAUCGAAUAUGGAUAAUAAUCAUAUUAUCAAUUUAGAAAAUGGUUAACCAAAUGGAUAACUAAUAUGCUUAACUUUUAUAUUUGUAAAGCCUCAAAUUAGGGAUUCCUCAAGUUUAGGAGACUAGGAAUCAUCCCAUAAGACGGAUAACCUAUUUUUUAUCCGUCUCAAAUACGGGUCGGGUCGGAUAAUUUUAUCCGUUUUUUGAAUUACCCGUUUUUGACAUGCUCAUAUCCGACCCGACCCGACUCGUUUGCCACCCCUACUCUCAAUCAUAGAUUACAAACAACUCACUACAUUUUAGUUGGUAGUUGCAUAGAUUUUUAGUGAAUCCUCAACAAUUUUUCUUUAUGCAUCCUCUGCACAAGUUGUUCAAACUCCAUGAGAUUGUGUUUCUCCAAUAAAGUUGGGCUCAGCCUGAGGUAAGUAAAAGCCGAUAAGUGUCUACUAACUGGAUCAUUCAAAUGCUAGGCAUUUAUCAUGACCUUGUUGUAACCUUCUCUAUGGUAACACGAAGGUGCAUUCUCACUAGCAAUUGUUGUGUUGACAUCCCAUGCAACAUUUAGGACCUGCAAUUUUGUGAAAUCCUUUUGAACAAAGAGAGUGAUGCAGAGAGCUAGAGACAACACAUGAAAAUUACACUGCGCUAUCAAUUUAACAUCAAACUUCACCCAAAUCAACUUUUUCAAAAACUAUUUGGGAAUCUGUGUCCAGACAUGUCCUUAAUAUAAUUCUUAUUUGAUUACUUAGAAUUCUUAUUCAAACAACUUCGAAUUUUAAAAUUAGAAUCUAAAAAAUUAAUGAGGGUUUGAAUAAUUUCACAAAUAACGCGUUUGUUUGAUAUAACCAUUCUAUUAGAAAUUGAAUAUGGAAAAGGCCCAUUUAUGUCAGCGAACUAUACGAAAUUGAGCACAUUUGCCCGUCGUUAAAAGGUGGUGUCAAUCAUGCCCUUGCCGUGUAUAAGGUGGCUCACAUAUGCCAUAUUUUAGACGGACAACCCUAAUAAAAUAAAUAGCACUGGAUUUUGUCACGUGUCACAAUCUGGCGCAAUCCACUAUACCUUAAUUUAAAUAACAAACCAACACGAUCCAUCACCCUUAUUUUAAUAAACCAACCGGACCUAGUACUAUAAUUUAAUAAACCCCAAUUCUAUUUUAUUUCCCCCACUCUCUCUCUCACCUCGCUUUAUUCCAAAUACCAAUUUCUCCGCAGUCGACCACACUACAAAGCUGGACCUCUAGGGUUUCGUUUUCAGAGACAAGUCGAAGGCUUAAUGCUUUUAACCGGUAUGUCAUGUUUCAGUCUUCUUCUUCUUUUUCUAUUUGUGGGUCAGAGAUUCGUUUAUUUGAAUUUUAUAUGUGGGGUUAGGGUUUCUUGCUUAUAAUGGGAUUGUUGUUUAUUGAUAUCUUUUUGGCACUUUAUCCUACUAAAGAAUAAAAUAAAAUGAAUAAUGUGUUGUAAUUGAUGAUUUUGUUGUCUGGUUGUGGUCAUUACCGUAUGUUUUUGAAUUAUUUUUACUCGAACUGGUUGUGGUCCUGCUUAUGCAUUUCUACUUACUGUUAUGGACCGUGUCACUCUUUUUAUUCCUUUGCAUGUGAUAUAAACAGAAGAUGAUGGCUAAAGUGGACUUGGUAUUUAAUUAUGGGGGUAAUUGGAUAUUUUCACCUGAAAUAGUGUAUGAUCAGAAGCAUGUGUACACUUUGUCUGGUUAUGAUGCUUGCCUUGUCAACUAUAAAAGUGUUUGUGAAGAAUUUAUCAAAAAUUUAGGAUUUAGCUUAGUCGAGCAACUUUUAGUGACUGGACCUUCGGGGAGGUACCACCUGGUAUCUGAUGAUGAUGGUGUGAGGACUCUUCAGUACUUAUUCUCUAAUGAGUUCAAUGUGAAUAACCUUUUUGCUGUGGAUGAGUUUGAAGCUAGGGUGUUUGCUCAAAAUAUUGUUCAUCAUAAAGAGAAAUAUUCUGUAGACAUUGAUGCAACUCAUGAAUGAGAAAGUAGUUUGGGUGGUGGUAUUUUUGAUGAUUUAGAAGGUUCUGACCAUGAUUAUUCAGAAAUUGAAGCUAUUAGUAAAGAAAACAGAGGGUUAUAACUGAUAGGUUAGAAUAUUUUAAGGAGCUGGAGUUAGGUAUUAUAUUUAAGGAUAUUGAAGAAGCUAGAAGGACAGUGAACUUCUAUGUAUUGGCUAAUAGAAGAGGGUUGCAGGUGAUCAAAACUGAUUCAACUAGGGCUAGCUAUAAGUGUGCUCCUGGUUGUCCAUUUAGAUGUUAUAUCUCACAGGAUGGCAAUAGUGAUAACUAUCAAAUGAAGAUGUGGAAAUAUGUCCAUACAUGUAAUCCUUGCUUCAAAAAUCCUAGGGCUGAUAAGAAUACUUUAGCAUACCUGUUUAAGAGAAAAAUAUAAUACAAUCCUCAGUAUAGCCUGAAGGAAAUAAAAGAUGAUAUAGAGAUUGGGUUUGAAUUAAAUGUGUCGAUUCUAAGCUUAAAAGGGCUAAGAAUUUGGCACUUAAGAAGUUAGAGGACAAUUUUGUUGGUGACUACAAGAAACGUGAGGCCUAUGGGCAAGAACUUAGACAAUCUAAUCCUGGUACUGAUGUUGUAGUUAAUAUUUCUAAAAAUGCUCUUGAAGAAGGGAAAAAAAGUUCUUAAGGAUGUACAUAUACUUCAAUGAAUUGAAGAUGGGUUGGAAAGAUAUCUUGAGACCACUUAUUAGGCUGGAUGGUAUUUUUCGUAAGGGGAGAUAUAAAGGCCAGUCGCUAGUGGCUAUUGGUCAAGAUAACAUGAAUCAUUUUUACCCAUUUGCAUGGGUUGUGGUAGACAAGAAAAAUGCUAGAACUUGGGAAUAAAGUUUAUUGAGCUUCUGAAGCUUUUUUUGGGAUCUAAAUGAUGGUCAUGGAGUUACUUUUAUCUCAGAUAUACAAAAGGUACUACUUUCAUCUUUUAUUUGUUCUCUUUUUCUAUUUUGUCUAGUUUUCUUUCUCACAUUUAUGUUUCUUUUUCAAUAGGGUUACUUGAUGCUGUGAGGAAUGUACUUUCUAAUGCUCACCAUAGAUUUUGUGUGAGACAUAUUGAAGCUAAUUGGCAGAAAAGAUGGGGAAAUGGACACAUGGAGAAACUUUAAUGGUGGAGUGCUUGGAGCACUUAUGAAGAAGAUUUCAAAGAUCAACUUAAGAAGCUGGGUGAAAUAUCUGAUGAUGGUGCUGCUGCUAGAAACCUAUUGCAUUAUCCACCACAAGCUUGGUGCAAAGCAUAUUUUGAUACUCAAUAUAAAAACGUGAUGGUUGACAACAAUUACACCGAACCAUUCAAUGCAUGUAUUCUGAAAGCAAGACAUGUUCCAAUCAUCAAGAUGUUAGAGGAGAUAAGGAUAAAAGUUAUGAAUUUGUUGGCUACAAAUGGAGAUGACAUUAUUAAAUGGAAUGGUGACUUCAAUCCAUAUGCUUUGAAGUUGUAUAAUGACUAUAGGAAAAUAAUACAUUACUGCUAGGUUGAGUUUAAUGGUGACUUUAGAUAUGAAAUUAGUGAAUGUGAUAAGACAUAUUGUAGAUCUUAGAAAGAAAAGAUGCACAUGUAGAGUGUGGCAAUUAUCUGGUAUCACAUGCCCCCAUGCAAUCAAGGAUAUAUUAUAUGACAAGGUAUGAGACACAACUAUAUUUUACUGAAUCAUUCUAAUGUUAUCUAAUUACCAACAUAUUUUUACUUUGGUAGGAUGAGCCACUGUCACAAAUUCACUGGUACUAUAGCAAAGAGGCAUAUUCAUUGACUUAUAAUCACAAACUCCAGCCAGUUAGGGGGAAAUUUUUUUGGAAAGUAGAACCAGCUCAUGCAAUGAAAUCUCCUGAUAUUUCCAAGAAUGUGGGUAGACUUAGAGCGAAGAGAACCAGGGAAAGCAAAGAAGAGGGUAGGGAGUGGAAUUACUCAAGGAAGAGAGUUAUGAUGACAUGCAACAAUUGUGGUGGUGAAAAUCACAAUGCUAUGGGUUGUUUCAAGGUAAAGAAUUCUGAUGUGUCACAUCUUCUAAGAGUUUUGAUUUGUCAUAAUUCAAGGAAGUUGUCACAUCUUCUAAUAAUUUUUUUUGGGUGCCAGGAGAAAACUAUUGCAGAGACUUCAAAAUCAAGGAAAAAGAAACAAUAGAAAGGUGGUUCAAGUCAAACCUCAGCUCCAGAAUUUAUACUUGCAUCUGCUGCUUCUGAAGAUGAAGGAAUGGACUUUGACAGUGAACCUGUGACAUAACAGAUAAAAGAAUUCUCUUAUACCACUACUGAUUUAUUACAAGGUUAUGGUCCUAUUAUUGGUACUAAUGGAGAUCCACCUCUAAGGCCAAUGGUUAUUGCUGAAUCAGAAACAAGACUUGUAAUUAGAAAGCUGAAUGUAAGGCCACCAACAGGAACAAGAAGAAUUCAAUUUUGUGAAGAUGCAUAUGGAGUGGCAGUGCCAUCAAAUUUGCCUUACUCACCAACUAAGGCAACUUGGAAGGGGAAGCCAAAUGUCACACUCAAGCAGAUCCAAGAUGAAACAAGAAAAAAGAAAAAAUUGAAGAUGGCGUCAACUUGUGAAGUUUAGCAAGUUUAGGAACUUUUUUGGGAUAAAUGUCUUUGUGUUAAGAACUUACAUUAAGGUUGUUGGUUUUUAGUUAACAUGUUGUUGGUUUUUGAUGAAAUUCUAGCUGCUGGCUUUUGGUGAAUUCAAACCUCUUAUUUGACUUGAAAUGAUUUUAUGCAAAUGAAUAUUGUUCUAAAUGUUGUUUAGGUUGUUGUUCAAGCUAUUGGUUUGUAGCCAAUUCCCUUGAACUGUGACAAAUCAGAAUGUUUGUAGCCCCUAUAUAGUGUUGCUAAUUUCAUAUGCACUAUCAUAGCCAGAACAACUCCCUUGAACAUUUGUAACCAACUCCCUCUAUUUGUUUGUAGCCAAAAAUAUAUAGGAUGACUAUUGUUUUAAAUAUUGAUUGUGUAUGUUUAGGUUGCGUAUGUUCAAAUUGUGUAUGUUAAGAGACUGUAUGUUCAGGUUGUGUAUGUUCAGGUUAUUUGUAGUUGUUGGUGUGUAGUUGGAACCUGUGGUGGGUAUGUUUGUUCAAUAGCGUUUAGUUGAAGGGCAUAUUUGAACUUCUUGUAGAUACACACUAUUAACAAGUGUAGCAAUUUUGCUGAAAGUCAUUCUAAGCUGCACAUUAUAAGCUCAAACCAUCAUUUUGGGUUAAACCAUUGCACUUAGGUUGUUGUAAACUCAUUACAUUAAGAUCAAACUAUUACACAAGCAAAAUUUACAUAAAGUCAUACAUUUCGUUCAUUCAUAUAGUCACAAAAUAUGACUACAUUCCAUCCAAUAUUCAAAGCUUACAUAACUUAACUAUGUAAUACAUAACCAACAACAAACCCAACCAGGAAACACAAUAACAUAACAUAUACAUUUUCUCUCUUCUUUGCAUAUCUCCCAUCAUUUUUAAUAUAGGAAGGAAGAUUUUCAAUAAUAGAAGAUGCCUCCAAAUCAGCAACUAUAUACCUUAAUGAUUUAGUUUCAAGUUGAAUAUCAACAACUUUUUCCUUCAAAUACAUGAUUUCUCUCUAAAAAAAUCAGUUUUUUUCUUCAAGUAAUCGUUUUCACCAAUGUUUGACCAAAAAUGUAUGGGACCUUUUUGUUAAACUAAUUAAAUAAGAAGAUAGAGAGUAAAUCCUAGUUAAGGAUAAUUAAUUCUAGAUCUGAGAUGAAUAACAUGAAUAAAAAAAUAUAGUUGAGUAAAUGCUGGCAGUGAUUAUGGCCAGAUUUAAUAGUAUGAAAAAAGAUGUAUUAAGUAACAUUAAAUGACAAUAAAAUAUAAAUAAAGGAAAAGAUUCACCAAUCUUGAGUGAGGCGGAUCCUCUUUCAUUUGAUAAAGAUGAAUGAUAGACAAAUACACGAAUCUUAGGAUCCUUUUCGGAUCUGAUGGGGGGUAUGGGAUAAAAGAUCAUCUAAUCUCUUUAGAGAGAUGUGUUUGUAUAUUUUCUAGAGAGAGAGUCUGCUUCUCAGAAGUUCCUCCCUCCCCCAUCCAUUCUUCUCUCAUACCCUUUAUAUGAGAUAUCUUAAGGAGCCCUAAACAGUACAAUUAAAGAGAAUAUUCAGUAGAUUAUUCCCUUUAAAGAUUCCAAAGCAAAACUAGCUACUUCUAUAUGUACUGCUCGACCUCGGCCUUGUUGUUGAUCAUUGCUCGACCUCGGCCUUGUUGUUGGUUACUGCUCGACAUCGGCCUUGUUGUUGAUCACUGUUUGACCUCGGCCUUGUUGUUGAUCACUGCUCGACCGCAUGUCGAAUUUCUCUGGUUUGAUUUUGACCCAUACAGUUAGUCCCUCCGCUUAUCGAGGUCGUCUUUUGGUCGAGCUCGAUGAGCGGACUUCAUUAAUCGUAUUUCAACAAAUUUGGAUGGGGAGGUCGACUAGUGAGGAUCGCGGUUGAGGGUGCCGAUCUUCAGGUUAAAAUGGUAUCCCCGCAGUCUGAACUUGAGUAGAAUUCGAUCAGGGCCAAUGACUCGAGUGAUGAGUUGAUCGAGAAGACAUUAGAGUUGGAUAUGGUUGACGAGGCCAGGAUGGUGGCUUUGGCAAGGAUGGCAGCAUCAAAGGAGGUCAUCCGCGUCCUCAGAUCUGGACGGGCGAUUAAGCCCUUGUAAGAUGCCUUUUCUGAUACCUAUUUUGAUUUGGAAUGCUACUUUUGCUUCUUAUUUCUGAUUCUAUUUUUCUUUUCCUUGAACGUUUUCCUCGAUUGAUGGUUUCAAAGGAAUCGUUGGUAGGCAUUAAUUUGAAAGUGAUUGAGUGUCUUUGAUUAGUCCGAGUGAAGUCAAAUUUUGUAAUAUUUAACUCGAACGAGGUUUAGUUGUGAAUCAAGUUCGAGCUAGGUCGAAUACGAGUUAAAUUCGAGAGAGGUCGAAUGUCACUCAACUAGUUUGGACUGUCAAAUUUGUCUUAAUCAGUUCGAACGAGGUCGAGUGUGAGAUAAUUCGAGUGAGGUCAAAGGUUAAUUCAAGCGAGAUCGAAUGAGAGUUAAUUCGAGCGAGGUCAAAUGUUAGUUAAUUCGAGAGAGGUCAAAUGUGAUUCGAGCGAGGUCGAAUGUGAUUCGAGCGAGAUCGAAUGUUAAUUUGAGCAAGGUCGAAUGUGAUUUGAGCGAGGUCGAAUGUUAAUUCAAGUGAGGUUGAAUGUGAUUCGAGCAAGGUUGAAUGUUAAUUCGAGCGAGACCGAAUGUGAUUCGGGCGAGGAGGCCGAAUGUGAUUCGAGCGAGGUCAAAUGUUGAUUCGAGGGCCUGAGGUCGAAUGUGAUUCGAGCGAGGUCGACUGUUGAUUCGAGCAAGGUCGGACGUUGAUUCGAGCGAGGUCAGACGUUGAUUUGAACGAGGUCGGAUGUUGAUUCGAGCGAGGUCGAAUGUUCAUUCGAGGAGGCCGAAUGUUGAUCCGAGCGAGAAGGCCGAGUGUUGAUCCGGGCAAGGCCGAGUGUUGGUCCAGGAGAGGCCGAGUGGUGGUCCGGCGAGGCCUUGUGUUUGUCCGGGCGUGGCUGAAUGUUGGUCUAGGCAUGGCUGAAUGUUGAUUCGAGCAAGACCGAAUGUUGGUUCGAGCGAGGCCGAGUGUUAUUUUGUUUAAUUGAUGCAGCGUCACUUCAGCCAAAAUGCAGGUGAACUUUAUGCACUCAUGCUUUGCCUACAUAUAUCAGAGAGAUUUGCAUGUUUUCUGGUAUGGCAAACCAGUCCUAGUCUAUAUGGUCUCUUGGCAUCUUGGAAUUUACUUUGACGACGAUCGUUCCCUGUUCGCGUAUCGGGGAGAAUGCUCCUGCUUCUAUUCCACUUAGAGAAAUAGUCAGUUAAAACCAAAUGAAAUCAUUCGUUACCUCGAUUUGAUCGAUCGAUGAGUGGAGGGGAGUGACCACGUUCCCUUCUCCGGUUAUGCUUUUAGUGGCCGCUACCAAUUUGGCAAGGCCGUCCAUUUUGAUAUUCUGCGCUCGAGGGAUCUGGUCGAGCUGACAUUCAUCGAACUCGAGUAAUAGCUUCGGCAUGGUAUUUUUGCAGUCUUUGUUCCUUGAUUUGGAAAGUCCCCGUGAUUUGAUUGACAACGAGUUGAGAGUCGCAUCGUAGGACGACUCGUUCUGCUGCGUACUCGAGUGCUAGCUUUAGACCUGCUAUCAUGACCUCAUGUUCGGCUACAUUGUUAGUUAUAUCUGGGCAUCUUAUGGACUAUAAAAUUACUUUGCCUGAUGGGACCUCGAGUUCGAGUCCCAGUCCCGAUCCCGGCGCGUUUGUAACCCAAUCUCGGGUGCACACAACUGAAGGAUACGUAAGCCAUAUCAUAAGCAUAAAGGUAGGACAAGUUUAUCAUUUCCAGAAAAUAACUUUUAUUUUUUUAUUUUUUAUGACCAAAGAGUUCCAGAAAACAUCAUGAGAAUUAGUUGUAGCAGAAACAUUAGCAAUCGAGUAGUCCGCUCCAACAGACCAAGAGCAAAGUAACAAGAUAUUCACAAUGACAAAUGGCCAACAAACUAGGUCUCAAAAUCCGAAAUGAAAGUGACUAAACAGUACCAAUGUAAGUCCAAAUGACUUCACAAAAUAUCACAAGCAGCCAACAGAAAGGCAACGAGACAAGCAAACAGAGAAUAAGUAAUAACUAAACCAACAUGAAAUUAUUGUAAAAUUAACAAGGAACCACUGGUUUUGCAAGCGUUGCCGGAGUUAGAGUUGUUACAUCUUGCGUUUUCGUACGUUAAAGUUUCGCCUUCAGUUAACCGACGUGGACUCGGAAUGAGAUUAUCUUGAGGUUAACGUAUUUAUGCUAUUUAUAACAAGCGAUAAGUAAGUGUCAUGAAUGAUAAAGGACACACAAAUUAAAGAAAAUAAGUUUCGUUGAAGGUGACCGAUUUGUGAUAAAAUACGGGUCGAGUGAUAAUACCCGAUAAUUAUGGACUAAUACCAUGCAAGGUACCAUAUGACCACAGUAGUACGAUGUAUAAAGUAUAUUAAAUAAUAAAUAGAAUUUUAAGUAAUUUGAUAUAAUUCUUAAUUAUACGAAUAAUUGGUUAAUUAUCGGGUAACGGAAUAUUACCUAGUUAAUUAAUAAAAUAAGUAGAUAAGAUUAACCCCUUCUUCCCUUCCAAAAACGUGGCACAAAGCCACCAAUUAAGAAAAUGACUCAUAGUCAUUUACGAGUAGGUGUCUGCCUAAGGUUAAUUGAACUAUUAACAAAGUAAGACUUAUUAUCUUGUUUCCAUUUUCAUUUGGACAAGAGAUCAGAACGUCCUUAAGUCCAAAAUAGGAAUCAUAUAUCAUUUCAUUCUUCCUAGUUCCAAAUACCUCAAGAACAGACGCUAACGAGAAUUUUGCAAAUAAUUCCAACGAAAUUGGCUUCCAACGAAAUUUUGCAAACAAUUUCAACGAGAAUUGUUAGAACCAUAACAAUGUAAAAUUUUGCGGUUCUAAAGGAGUACGGUGCAAUCUUCUCCAAGAGUAUUAUACAGAGUUUUUCCUAUUUCAGGUAUGUUAAGGCCAUCCCUUUUUUCUUUUUGGCAUGGUCCAAGUUAUAUAGAAGAAAUGAGCAAAUGCACAGUUUUCAUAAACGACUCUAUUCAUAGAAAUAUUAGGGGUCUCUGUGUUCUUGAUUUCCCAUGUGACAUAUUAUUAUAUCUUUUGUUCAUGGGUCUCAAAAUAAUACACAGUUGAUAAAGCUUAUACGAAAAGAAUAUUGAGAUUUUUAACAUAUUUUCAUGCAUUUUAUUCAUUUAUGCAUGUACAUUGACCCAUGACCAGACGAUAUUAUAUACGCAUAUUUAUAUGUAUAUAUUUAUGUAUAUGGGAUAUGGAAAAAAAGGUUAUGUCGUUAUAUACGCACCACCACCUGAUCAGUUGGUAUAUAUUGAUGAUGUUGCCCACAGUGCCCGAGACGAUAUGAUGGGAUGCCCUCUGAGGCUUGAUGAUAUUAUGUACACCAUACCUAUGCAUGACACGAUAUUCAUAUGCACGUGCAUGACAUUAUAAAUAUUUCAGAAUUUAUAAGGUGAUUCAGACUUACAACUGGAUUUCUUUAUUCCAUAUUUCAUCUAUGUCCUUUAUGUACUGAAUUUUAUGCCUUACAUACUCAGUACAUUAUUCGUACUGACACCCUAUUUCACGGGGCCUGCGUUUCAUGCUCGCAGGUGCAGGUAGGCAAACUGAUGGUCCCCCUUUUUAGGAUCCUUGAUCAGCGAGAGUUGGCGUACUCCACUUGAUCCUGAGCUGCUUUUGAUUUUGGUACGAUAUGUUUGUAUAUGUAUGGGUAUGACGUGGCUCAAUACCGUCUUUAUAUAGUUAUAUCUCUAUUAGAGGUCUUUAAACAGUAUGUCUAGUUGAAUAGUAUGUGACCUUGCCGACUUCCAAUUUUGAGGUGCAUAGUUGGCUACAGCAGCCUUGUCGGCUCGCCCUACGUGUGUUGCACGUAUAUGUACAUAUGCCUUUUUUUCUUCAUGUAUAUUAUUCUCGUAAUUCAGCAGAUGUUAUUCAUGUUUAUAUCAUAGACUCAUGCUUAGGGGUGUUCGACAGGUAGGACUCGGGCACCCGUCGCGGCCCAUCGGUUUGGGUCGUGACAAAAGUGGUAUCAUAGCAGUUCUAUCCUAGGAUUGUCUACAGACCGUGUCUAGUAGAGUCUUGUUUAUGGGUGUGUUGUGAAAUCACACUUAUAGACAAGAGGCUACAGAACAUAUAGGAUGUUAUCCUGUCUUUUUUAUCUUAGAUCGUGUGAUAUAAGAAUUCAUGUUCCUAAUGAUAUGUUACGUUUUCAGUAAUGCCUUUGAAUACUACAACUGCUAGUACGGGUUAGAAGGCUAUGAACAUGUUAGAAAGAGAUAUAAGUUACACUAUGGAGUCAGACCCAUCGGAGAUCAUGGGUUCUAUUGAGGAGGAUCCAUAUGAGUCAUCUGUUCGAACUGUUUCGGCCACUCCGACAACAGAUGGGGUGAGAGGAGUCCCGACCUCACCAAGGCCCUUAGUUUCAUUAUUACAGCCCGUUGAUCAGGGUAUGAGGAGAGUAGUACAUGGAUCACAGCUGGGUUUCCUUCAAGCUCAAAACUAUGUCAAGGUAUUUGUGGACACCAUCUCUUCUGAGGUUCCAGAUAGUCCACAGUCUUCGGAGUCCGUCAAUCUAGGUUCGCCAGUGUAUGCUAUGAGAUACGUAGAGGAAGAAGAUAGUAGUCAGGCCAAGAGGAAGAAGGUAACUGAUAAGGACAUGAAGAUUCCAUUUCGAAGUGUGUCCGAUCGAGGUUCUCAUAUAGGACGAGGCAAGGACCCUCUACUCUAGACUUCCUCCAAAUGUCAGCUUUUGGUUGGUGAGCUCCACUUCUUUUGGGAAUAUUACCAAUUCACGGAUCGGCAUAUGUUAGGUUGUUUUAUAAGGACGUAGGGAGCUCUGUCCCGACUUGUAGAUAUACUAUGGUUAUGUUUACUUAGAGAUUUUGCAGACAAUAUCUUGUAUAUAGUUUUGGGUAUGACAUAUCUAUGGCCUGGUCGACCCCUAUGUAUAUAAACCCUUUUUAUAAGUUAGUUAUGCAAGUUAUGUUUUAAUAUUGUUACCUAUAUAUACGGAUGCGACCCGAAAUAACCCAUGAUAGAUUUGAGAAUAAACAAGGAUAAAGUACAUGGUGUUCAGUUGGGCAAAACUUGAUAUUAUAAUGGGUAUGGAUUGGUUGUUUUUUUGUUAUUCUAACAUCAAGUGUAGAUCAAAGAUGGUUUGAUUUCAGUUCCUAUCUCAAGGCAAAAAAGAUGAUCAGAAAGGACCAUAUUUAUCACUGAAUUCAGGUUUGGGAUAUGGAAGUAGAGUUAUCAACCAUUCAGUCCUUCCCUGUGGUUAAUAGGUUUCUCGAUGAACAUUAGGGUCUUUCGCCAGAGCGAGAAAUUGAGUUGCUAUUGACCUACUACAAUAUACACAUCCAAUAUCUAUUCCUCCCUAUAGAAUGGCCCUUGCAGAACUAAAAGAGUUGAAGGAAUAACUAAAGGAUUUGCUUGAAAAAGGCUUUAUCAGACCUAGUACAUCACCAUAGGGAGCUUCUAUGUUAUUUGUGAGGAAGAAAGAUGGUUCCUUACGGAUAUGUAUUGAUUAUAAACAAUAGAAUAAGGUGAUGAUCAAGAAUAAGUACCCCACUACUGAGGAUUGAUGAUUUAUUUGAUCAGUUGCAAGGUGACAAGUGUUUUUUUAAGAUAGACUUGAGGUCCGGGUACCCAUCAGGUAAGGGUUAAGGAGGAAGAUAUUCCAAAGACAGCAUUCAGGACCAUAUACGGGCACUUUUAGUUUCAUGUUAUGUCAUUCGGUUUGACCAAAUGCCCCAGCAGUAUCAUGGAUUUGAUGAACCGUGUGUUCGGGAUCUUCUUAGAUCUGUUCGUAAUUGUAUUUAUCGACAAUAUAUAUAUUGGUAUAUUCUCGUUUAGAGGUUGAGCAUGCAGAUCACUUGCGUACUGUGCUUAGAGUUCUACAAAAGGGAAGUUGUAUGCAAAACUCUCUAAAUGUGAAUUUUGGUUGAACUCUGUAGCUUUCCUUGGGCAUAUCAUUUCGGGUGAAGGCAUCCGGGUGGAUACACAAAAGAUUGAGGCAGUGAAGACUUGGCCUAGACCCACAACACCGAUGGAGGUUCGUAGCUUCUCCGUUUGGCAGGUUAUUACAGGAAACCUGUAACGGAAUUUUCUUCUCUUUUAGCAUCUUUGACCAACGUGGUAUGUGGUGUCUUGCUUGAUGUUCCAGAAUAAUAUAAGGAAAUCUAUGGUGCAAGCACGUUGAAGGAAGUUGGGAAUAAGUAUAAAUAGAUAUGUGUAGGUCGCAAGCUAAAGUAUGGUAGAGCGGCAAGGUUUUAGGAAGACAGGAGGAAAGAUAAGAAAAGAUGAGUAAGGUGACGAGAAUGAAUAAGUCUUGGGGUUAAGCUCAUAAGAGAGCUAAUGGUUUCUCUAAGUUAUAGAAGGCUCAGUAUAACCUAAAUAAACUCAAAGGAGUCUAAGACUAGUAACGUUUAGAAUAGAUGAAAUGCUGCCCUAGUAGUGGAAUAAAAGCGUAAUUGUGAUGAAUAAAGAAUGAAGUUUGGGCCUUCGAAGAGCGAAAUUUCAUGAAUUGUAAAAAGAAUAGAAUACCCAUGUAAGUUAACUCAGAAGGGAGCUAAGUUUCGAUGGACUGAUACUUGUGAAUGGAGUUUCUAGGUAUUGAAGGACAGAUUAACUUCAGCACUGGUUCUAAUGCUCCCAGAAGGGACCGAUGGUUAUGUUAUCUAUUGUUACGCUUCAGGUGUUGGAUUGGGUUGUGUGCUGAUGCAGCAUGGUAAGGUUGUAGCUUAUGCUUCUAUACAACUAAGAAAGCACGAGAAGAAUUACCCCGACCCACGAUUUAGAGUUAGCUGCAGUGAUUCAUGCACUAAAGGUGUGGAGGCACUACUUGUAUGGAAUUCAUAUUGAUAUCUAUGCAGAUCAUAAGAGCCUCUAGUAUUUCUUCAAGCAAAAGGAAUUGAAUUUACGUCAAAGGAGAUGGUUGGAGCUACUUAAAGACUAUGACAUUGAUAUUUUAUACCAUCCGGGGAAGGCGAACAUAGUAGCCGAUGCCCUCAAUCGUAGAUCCAUGGGUAGCCUGUCAUAUUUACAGCCAGAAAAGAGGGGAAUUGCCCAUGAGAUUCAUUAGCUAGCUAGUCUUGGAAUUCGGUUACGGGACUCAGGUGAUAUUGGAAUUACUAUUCAGGAUACAACAACAUCCUCUUUAGUAACUGAAGCAAAGGAAUGCCAGUACGAGGAUCUUGUGUUAGUUCAUUAUAGGGAUACCUCCCCCCCAGAAAAAAAGACACCGUUUGAAAUUACAGAAGAUGGGUUCCUCAGAUAUCGAGGACGAUUAUGUGUCCCUAAUGUUGCAGCGCUGUGUCGGUAGGUUAUGGGAGAAACUCGCUAUUCUCGUUAUCCUAUCCAUCCAGGAGCGACAAAGAUGUAUCAUGAUAUCAGGGAAGUAUAUUGGUGGGGCGGAAUGAAAAAGGAUAUAGUAGAGUUUGUUGCCCAGUGUCCUAAUUGUCAGCAAGUUAAGAUUAAACACCAAAAAUCCGGUGGAUUAUUGCAGGCUAUGGAGAUUCUGACUUGGAAAUGGGAAGUAAUCAAUACGAAUUUCAUCGUAGGCUCACCUCGUACCCAACAUAAGUUCGAUUCGAUAUAGUUGAUUGUUGAUAGGCUUACAAAGUCAGCCUAUUUUCUGCCCAUUAGGACUACAUAUUCCGCCGAGGAUUAUGCAAGGUUUUAUAUUAAGGAGAUAGUACGACUGCAUAGUGUCCCUGUAUCUAUUAUCUCGAAUAAAGGAGCUCAAUUUACAGCUAACUUUUGGAGGAGGAUUGGGGAUUCAGGUAAGUCUUAGUAUGGCAUUCCAUCCCCAGACAGACGGACAGGCUAAGCGUAUUAUUCAGACACUUGAAGAUAUGUUACGAGCUUGUGUGAUAGACUUCAAGGGUAGCUGGGAUGAUCAUCUGUCGCUUAUUGAGUUCGCAUAUAAUACUAGCUACCAUUCCAGUAUUCAGAUGGCUCCAUACGAAGCUUUAUAUGGACAGAAGUGUAGAUCGCCUAUUGUCACGAUCCCAAACCAGACCCGGUCGUGAUGGCGCCUCUUGUGAAGACAAGGCUAGCUGACACAGUUCCCAAAUUCAGUUUUUAACAGUUUAAUAAGUCAAUUUAAGUCAUUUAUAAGGAUAAAUCCCCAACAAGUAUAGAUUUAGCGAAAUAAACAAGUGCGGAAAUAAAUACAGCCCGAUGUCACACCUCCUUUUUACCACCCGAGAGGGGGAAAUAUAUGGACUUUUUUCCAAUUUAAGUGACAAUCGAAACGGGAUAAUUUAUUUAUUAAAUUCAGAGUCGCCACUUGGGAUGAUUUAUGGUGUCCCAAGUUACCGGUUUGGAAUCCCGAAUCGAGGAAAGAUUAACUCUGUAUUACAGUCCGCGAACACAAAAAUUCGGGUAAGGAAUUCUGUUAACCCGGGAGAAGGUAUGAGGCAUUCCCAGAUUCAGUGGUUCUAGCACGGUCGCUCAACUAUUAUAAUUGGCCUAUUAUCUGAUUUUAAUACAUCUUUGAAACCUAUGUGCAUUUUAACUUUAAAAUCGCUUAUAUAUUUUUUGUGAAAAUUCAAGGUUAUUUAAAACACAUCGUAAGCCACGCUACAUGAAAUGCACCCGCGGUUCACGACACGCUUUAUUUAACCUUGUUGGAAGUUGGAGUCGGGUCACAUGAAAUGAACACCCGAACCUCUUUAAUCUAAUUUGACGUAGUUCAGUUGAUGGAUAGCAACCCAAUUUCUAUAUUGUGACAAAAUCAUGUUCAGUUAUAACCAAUUCGAAUAAACACGAACAUAUAACUGAGCAAGCAAAUUCAAAACCACGGAAAAUAUUUACAGAAACAACGGGAUUGCAUCACCAAACAAAUAAUUAACAUCAAGCUCGAAUAAAACAAAUAGAGAAUGAAAGAGUUGACCUUAAUAUAGUCGGAAAAUUGAUCGUUUCGCUGUUUUGAACUCAUAAAUGUGACAAACCGCAGACGGACCUCAACUUAGCACCACAAAACUCAAACAAACCCGGAUUCAACCCCAAACGAGCUCCACCAAUGAACUUCCGACAUUAAAACUCCAACUCAGUUUCUGUUUUGAUUUUGCUCUUUUCGAAAUGAUAUUAAAUCAAAAGGAACCAGCAAAGAGGAACCAACAAAUCAGUUGUCACCGCAUAGGUACAAAGAGACAUGAAAAUGGCUACUUAUGCAAAAUCAGCAGAAACAGAAAAGAAGAAACCAAUAGAACAGAUUAAGGUGAGCUCUCUUCAAUUAAAAUUUCCCUCUGAGUAGUAUACACAAGCAAAAACGAAACCAUGGCCAACUCUUUCACUAUGUGAAAAUCAGCAAGUACACAUAAAUCCGACAAUGAAAAUUUGAACGAAAACAACAACAAAUCGCUACAAGGACUUAAACCAACAAAAAUCGACCUCGACUAACACCUCAGAUAGGAAUCUGAAUAAAAAAUCAGAAGAAAACCAGAAGUCGACAUGAAAAUCGAAAGGAUUGAGUUCGAAAUCUAAUGAAAUAAAAGAAAAUCCCGUCCGUUCACCUCCCCUGUUCUCACUGUCCGUUUGGUGUGUUCAGAGGAAGACGAGUCCUUGUUUUUGAGGUCUAGGUUUGCUGUUCUCUUUUUCAGUAAGAGUGAGAUGUGGGAGAUGGGAGCUUGGCGAAGGUGAGUAGGGGUGUGUGUUCAACGGCUGGUCUUGAAUGGUCGACCAGACCCACCAGUGAUCAAAUCCGGCGACUGGUGAGAGAAGCUUAGGGAGUUUGACCUUCUGCUUCGGAGAUGUUGAUAAGGAUGUGGCUCUGGAGGAAUUAAGAGUGGCUCUUUGGCGUGUAGGUCUGGAGGUGAUCAACGGCUGGUGGUCGACUGAUGUUCCGCCGGUGGUGAGGAAAAAGGGGGGUCGUUUGGAGAAGAUGAAGUUAGGGGGUGGGGGUACGAUUUGUUUUUGGUUGUUUGUUGAAAUUGUAGCACUUCAGAUCUUUUGCAGAGUCUCCCCUCUAUUCUCGUCCCCCCAGCUCAUUUUGGUGUUACCCCUAUCCCUUCUUUAUUGUAGAGUCUAG